Benincasa hispida (wax gourd) is the source of this 719-nucleotide long non-coding RNA. RefSeq lists it as uncharacterized. The record is from RefSeq and is a predicted model, not a curated record. Lineage: Eukaryota; Viridiplantae; Streptophyta; Magnoliopsida; Cucurbitales; Cucurbitaceae.
AUGUGUGUUAUAUGAGUUUACGUAACAGAUAGUAACCCCAGAGGAGUGAACCAGAGAACACAAAUGGAUUUGGAGUUUGCCCAAUUGAUUUUAUUUUGGGAUUAAUUCAAAAUAUCUUUUGUGUUCUCAGGUCACCCCUUUGGGGACUCUCUUGUGUUAUUUUCUUUCAUCCUUCUGCUUUGCUUUUUCCUUUUCUAAUUCUUCGUGUUUUGUUUUGCAUCUUAUUUUAUUCUCUUUUAAAUUGCGAUAUUCGAUUCCAUAAGUGUUAUAAUUUUCAAUUUUAAUAAUAUUGUCUUAUGUUUUUAACAGAAUAAGAGAAAUGAACUAUCAUGGAUUAUCUAGUGGUAAUGGAAACAUCAAAAGAAGGUCAAAAGGCUAAAGAGUCAUGGGUUUAAUCCAUGAUGGUCACUUACCUAGGUGUUAAGAUCCUACAGAUUUCGAUGACAACUAAAUGUUGUAAGAUCAUGUGGGUUUUCCCGUAAAAUUAGUCGAAAUGCAUCCUAAUUUAUGAUGACAUCUCAAAAGUAUUCACAAAGAAAUAUGGGAAUUGGGGAAAGCUGUGACAGAGCAAUUGAAGAGCUACCAUUUUGAUUUUAGCUUUCUACAUGAGCUGCGCCUCUUUAUUUUUGUUUAAUUUUUUUUUAUAUAUCAAAUAUUAAUUUCUGACAUACAAUUUGACAUAUCUUUUUUUUUAAUAAUAUUAUAUAAGUGUUCCCUUC